GACGAACGCUGGCGGCGUGCUUAACACAUGCAAGUCGAACGGAAAGGCCCUGCUUUUUUGGGGUGCUCGAGUGGCGAACGGGUGAGUAACACGUGAGUAACCUGCCCUUGACUUUGGGAUAACUUCAGGAAACUGGAGCUAAUACCGGAUAGGAGCUCCUGCUGCAUGGUGGGGGUUGGAAAGUUUCGGCGGUUGGGGAUGGACUCGCGGCUUACCAGCUUGUUGGUGGGGUAGUGGCUUACCAAGGCUUUGACGGGUAGCCGGCCUGAGAGGGUGACCGGCCACAUUGGGACUGAGAUACGGCCCAGACUCCUACGGGAGGCAGCAGUGGGGAAUAUUGCACAAUGGGCGGAAGCCUGAUGCAGCAACGCCGCGUGCGGGAUGACGGCCUUCGGGUUGUAAACCGCUUUCGCCUGUGACGAAGCGUGAGUGACGGUAAUGGGUAAAGAAGCACCGGCUAACUACGUG
RNAcentral lists this ribosomal RNA (468 nucleotides) under uncultured bacterium. RNAcentral describes it as "partial 16S ribosomal RNA". It matches the Rfam family "Bacterial small subunit ribosomal RNA", at positions 28 to 507 of the family's 1533-position model. The record is from RNAcentral.